GUCUUUGUCUAGUUUUGAUAUCAGGGUUAUGGUGGCCUCAUAGAAUGAGUUUGGGAGUGCUCCAUCCUCUGCAAUUUUUGGAAUAGUUCAGGAGUAUAGGUGUUAGCUCUUCUCAAAACGUUGGUAGAAUUUGUUUGUGAAGCCAUCUGGUCCUGGACUUUUGUUGGAGUUUUUAAAUCACAUUUUAUAUUCAGUACUUGGGAUUGGUCUGUUCAUCUUUUCUAUUUCAUCGAGGUUUAAUCUUGGAAGAUUGUAGUUUUCUAAGAAAUUGUCCAUUUCUUCUAGUUUUUCCAUUUUAUUGGUGUAUAGUUGAAUAUAAUAGUCUCUUAUGAUCCUUUGUAUUUCUGUGAUGUCUGUUAUUCUCCUUUUUCAUUUCUAAUUUUAUUUAUUUGAGUCCUUUCUCUCUCUAUUUUUUUUUUUUUUUUGGCUUUUUGCCAUCUCUUGGGCUGCUCCUGUGGCAUAUGGAGGUUCCUAGGUGAGGGGUCGAAUCAGAGCCAUAGCCACCGGCCUACGCCAGAGCCACAGAAACAUGGGAUCCAAGCCGCAUCUGCAACCUACACCAUAUCUCACAGCAAUGCCAGAUCCUUAACCCACUGCGCAAGGCCAGGGAUCGAACCUGCAACCUCAUGGUUCCUAGUCAGAUUCGUUAACCACUGAGCCACAAUGGGAACUCCAUCUUUUUUUUUUUCUUAAUAUGUAUGGCUCAGGGUUUGUCAAUUUGUUCAUCUUUUCAAAGAACCAUGUUUAGAUUUCAUCUUUUCUAUGAUUUCUUUUACAUUGAUUUGUGCUCUGAUCUAUAUGAUUAUUUUUCUUCUGCUAACUUUAGGUUUUCUCUGUUCUUCUCUCUCUAGGUGUUGUAGAUAGAAAGUUGAGUUGUUUAUUUGAGCUCUUUCUUGUUUCCUGAGGUAUGCUUGUAUUGCUAUAAACUUCCCUCUUAGAACUGCUUUUGCUGCAUCCCACAGGUUUUAGACUGUUGUAUCUUUGUUUUCAUUUGCUUAUAGGUAUUUUUUAAUUUCCUCUUUGAUUUCUUCAGGGAUCUAUUGGUUGUUUAGUAGCAUGUUGUUUAGUCUCCAAGUAUUUGUGUUUUUUGCAGUUUUUUUCUUGUUGAUUUCCUAUCAUACAGUGUUGUGGUCAAAAAAGAUGCUUGAAAUGAUUUCAAUUGAAUUAAGAUUACUGAGGCUCAAUUUGUAGCCCAGAAUGUGAUCAAUCUUAAAAAAUGUUCCAUGUGCACUUGAGAAGAAUGUGUAUUCUGCUGCCUUUGGAUGGAAUGUCCUAUAAAUAUCUAUUAAGUCCAUCUGGUCUAAUGCUUCAUUUAGGGCCUACGUUUCUUUAGUGAUUUUUCUGUCUGGAUGAUCGGGGCAUUUCUGUAAGUGGAGUAUUAAAGUCAUCCACUAUUACUGUGCUAUUUUCAAUUUGUCCUUUUAAAUUUUUUAGCAGUUACCUUAUAUAUUGUGGUGAAUCCUAUGUUGGGUGCAUAAAUAUUUAAAAUUUUUGUAUCUUCUAGGAUUGAUCCUUUGAUCAUUAUGUAAUGUCCUUCCUUGUCUCUUAAAAUAUUCUUCUUUUUAAGGUCUAUUUUGUCUGAUAUGAGUAUUGCUACUCCAGCUUUCUUUUGAUUCCUGUUUGCAUAGAAUAUUUUAUUCCAUCCUCUCACUUUCAAUUUGUAUGUGUGCCUAAAAGUGAGGUGGGUCUCUUAAAGACAGCAUAUAUAUGGGUCUUGCAUCCAUUCAGCCAGUCUAUGUCUUUUGGUUGGGUGUUUAGUCCAUUAACAUUUAAGGUAAUUAUUGAUAUGUGCAUUCUUAUUGUCAUUUUAUUAACUGUUUUGGAUUUGUUUUUGUUGCCAUUUUUUCUUCCCUUCUUCUCUUGUCUCUCCUCUUGUGGUUUGAUGACUAUCUUUAGUGUUGUAUUUGAGUUGAUUUUUCUUACUUGUUUGUGUAUCAAUUGUAGAUUUUUGGUUUGCAGUUGCCCUGAAGUUUUUAUAUAAGAGUCUCUCUCUGUCUCUGUCUCUUUCUGUCUCUGUCUCUCUCUCUAUAUAUAUAUGAUUGUUUUAAGUUGUUGGUCUCUUAAUUGCAAGUGCAUCUCCAAUGUCCUGCACUUGUAUCCUCCUCUUCUCAUAAUUUCUGAUUUUGGUAGCAUAAUUGUGCGUGGAUGGUUUCCUAUCUUUACUGUAUAUAUGCCUUUACUGAUGAGCCUAUCAUUUAUGUUAUUUUUGUUUCUAUUUGUGGCCUUUUCUUUUUUGCCUAGAGAAGUUCCUCUAGUAUUUGUUGUAAAGCUGGUUUAGAGUUGCUGAAUUCUCUUAGCUUUUGCUUAUCUGUAAAGCUUUUUAUUUCUCCUUCAUAUCUGAAUGAGAGCCUUGCUGGAUAAAGUAAUCUUGGUUGUAGGCUUAUUUCCUUUCAUCGCAUUAAUUAUAUCAUGCCAUUCCCUCCUGGCCUGCAGUGUUUCUGCUGAAAAAUCUGCUGAUAACGUUAUUGGGGUUCCCUUGUAUGUUGUUUCUUUUCCCUAGCUGCUUUCAAUAUUUUCUCUUUGUCUUUACUUUUGGUCAGGUUGAUUCAUAUGUGUCUUGGGAUGUUCCUCUUUGGGUUUAUUUUAUGUGGUACUCAUUUCACUUUCUGGAUUUGAGUGAGUGGUUCCUUUCCUGUGUUAGGGAAGUUAUCUCUUUGCAUAUUUUUUCUGUCCCUUUCUCUCUCUCUUCUCCUUCUGGCAUCCCUAUAAUAUGGAUGUUGGUGCAUUUAAUGUUGUCCCAGAGUUCUCUGAGACUCUCUUCAUUUGUUUUCAAUCUUUUUUUUUCCUUUUGUUCUGCAUCGGUUAUUGCCACUAAUCUGUCCUCUACCUCAUCUAUUCAUCCUUCUGCUUCCUGUAUUCUGCUAUUAGUUGCUUAUAAUGAACUUUUUAUAUCAGUUAUUGUAUUUUGCAUCUCUUCUUGCUUAAGUUUUAAACCUUGUAUCUCUUUGCUCAGUGUUUCCUGUAAGUUGUCCAUCUUUGCUUCCAUUUUAUUUCCAAUGUCUUGCAUCAUCUUCAGCAUCAUUGGUUUAAAGUCUUUUCCCUGGAGGCUGAUAAUCUCCUGAUCACUUAGCUAUUUUUCUGGGGCUUUUUCUUUUUCCCUUACGUGAGUUACAGUUUUCUGCCUUUUCAUUUUUAUAGGUUUUUGUGUGGUGUCCUUUUUGUAGACAAUAGAGUUGUAGCCUCUCAUUUCUGAUAUCUGGCCCUCUUUUGCCUGAAGUUGAUACAGGGGCUUGCUGUAGGCUUCCUGAUGUGAGGGACUGAUGCCUACCUACUCAUAGGUGGGGCUGAUUGCCAUCUCUCUGGUGGGUGGGGCUUUGUCUCUGGGUGAGAUAAAAGGCAGCUGUGUCCCUGGGGGUCUUUAGGCAGCCUGUUUACUGAUGGGUGGGGCUAUGUUCCUACUUGGAUUAUUGUUUGGCCUGGGGCUUCUCAGCACUGAAGGGUGUGCCAGAUUUUCCCAAAAUGGCCACCUUCAGAGAAACACACACUGAUGUAUAUUCCCAAGAGAAUGUCCUUUCCCAACAACUAGCCACAGUUACCAUCUGUUUUCCCAAAAGACUCUCCAUGAACUGCAGUCCGGUCCAACCCAGAUUCCUAUGGAGACUUUGCUUUGCCCUGGUAACCAGUGCACAUUAAAGUCUGUGUGUACCUUUUAAGAAUAGGGUCUCUAUUUUCUCCCAGUCCCAUGGAGCUCUGCACACAAUCCAUUGGUUUUCAAUACCAGAUGCUCAAGGGGUUCUUUCUCCCAAAGCCAGAUCCCCAAGCAUGGGGACUUGACAUGGGGCUCAGAACUCACACUCCUGUAGGUGAGUCUCUGUGGUACAGUUACUUUCCAGUCUUUGGGCUUCCCACCUGGCAGGUAUGGGGUUGCUUAUAUCAUGUAAUUGUCCCUCCUACCUCUUGAUGUGGCCUCCGCUUUGUCUUCUGGAGUAGGGUAUCUUUUUGAAAGUUUCCAGUCCAUUUGGUUGAAAGUUAUUCAUAAUUUGACUGCAAUUUUGUUGUUUUUAUGAGAGAAGUUGAGUUCCAGUCCUUCUAUUCCACCAUCUUAAUCUCGUCCUCCUCUUAGAUCUUCUAUUACAGCAAUUAAUUAUAUUUAAUGUUAUCUUUGAGACAAAUAAUUUCUGAGUAAUUCAGAUAUAUAAAGAAUCCUAAGGGUGAAAUAAUAGUAGUUACUUUUUAUUGACUCCUGACUGUAUUCAGCACAGUUACAAGUUUUUGGCAUGAAUAGUAUUUUGGUGCUGCUCUUUCUUAUAGAGUACCAUGGGUGGUCUUAAGCAACUCAAGAAUCUCUGAGAACAUUCAAAUGCUGACUCUUUUCAGGGUACAUAAGGGAUUUCUUUGGUGGGGUGUUAGCUGGGUGGAUGUCAUGGUUGGGGGUGUGAAGUGUUCCUAAGCAUGGUGGGAGCCCUGUGUCUGGGUAACUCUUUGCCCCUACAUGCCCCCAGUGUUCCCAUCCAGCAAGCUGACCUCUUGGAUCAGAUACCAACAGGUUGGCUGAAGUCAAAACACUGGUGCAAGGCAGAGGGGACAGAUAAGUGCAUUCAAUGCAUUAGUAGAAAUCCCACAGAAGAAUGAGAUGAUGCCAGUGCUAGCUUCCUGAGGGCACUUUCUGUCUCUCUGAAUGAUUCUCUUUAAUAUGCCUAUUCCAUUGGCUUGAAGCAUAAAAGGAAAAUCCCCUCUAUAUCCUGCAAGGUUGGGGACUUGUAGCACUGACAAUUCCUUUUUUCCUUCCCCAAUCUCCCCCUUAACUGUAUUUAUAAGUGUGUGUGUGUGUGUGUGUGUAGUGUUCAGAUUAUGGCAAAGUGGUUCAUAUCUGAGUUUCCUUUAUAAAGUGAAGUUCUUGGUGCCUCUUGUCCCAAAUACUGAACCCUACUCAUCAAUUCCAUGGCAAUGGGAAAAGUCAAUUCACUGUCCUGAUGCACUCUUAGAUGGAUAAAUCAGCAAGCUCAUGAAGAGGACUAGUGGAGGAGAAGGUUUACAAGUUAGCUUGAAUUUGAC
Molecule: long non-coding RNA, 4995 nt
Filed under: Sus scrofa (pig)
Lineage: Eukaryota; Metazoa; Chordata; Mammalia; Artiodactyla; Suidae
Description: lncRNA (ENSSSCG00000058027.1)
Source: RNAcentral